Cyanistes caeruleus (blue tit) is the source of this 771-nucleotide non-coding RNA. Lineage: Eukaryota; Metazoa; Chordata; Aves; Passeriformes; Paridae. The record is from RefSeq and is a predicted model, not a curated record.
AGAUUACCUGAAAACAAGAAUACAAUCAACUAGGGAAAAAUGGGGAUGCUGGUUGUUCACAUAAAGACACUCAAGCUCACACUGCAAGUUGUAGGCCCUUCUCUCUCUCCAGGAAUUUACCUAAUUCUCUAACCUCCUAAGGGUUACCUAAUUCUCUAAUGGUCUCCUAAUUCUCUAACCUUAGCCCAGAGGCACACAUACUCAUUGAGUGGAAAUAGGACCACUGUGCAGAUAACACAAGAAUCCCUGGACAGAAGGAAAGGGCCAGAACUCAGUGCACUUCCUGACCUAUGACAAUUAGUGAUACUUUGGAAAGUGGGAGAUAAGACAUUAAAUCUAUUCCAAAUGCAACUGCAUGAAAUGCAACAUCAGACCCUUCAUCAGAGUCACUUGGAAAGCAUCAGCCCUACCAUGGUAGUGUGAGACCAAUCAUUUAGUUAACAUUAAAGAAAGCAAAUAAAGCCCAUAGUAUAUAUCUUGAUGUAUCUUACCUUAGCUUUUAAUCUUUUACUUCAUUAGACUUGGAAGAAGUGGAAUCCCAUGAAAAAUAAAUUUCUGCAAGGAUGAAGAUUUUUCUUCAAAGGGAGUUUGAAAGAUUAUGAUUAUGUCACUUACUGAAAAGUGAUACAACUGAAGCAGCACACAAGUACUGAAUAUGUUUACUCACUCUAAGUCAUUGUAAGAGGACAUUUUGUAUUUGUUUCACAGUGGAAACAAAGCCAGAUGAAUUAAACCUCAAAAAAGCACUGUAAAUAAAACCCCUUCUCACAA